RNAcentral lists this ribosomal RNA (407 nucleotides) under uncultured bacterium. RNAcentral describes it as "bacterial SSU rRNA". It matches the Rfam family "Bacterial small subunit ribosomal RNA", at positions 28 to 424 of the family's 1533-position model. The record is from RNAcentral.
GAUGAACGCUAGCUACAGGCUUAACACAUGCAAGUCGAGGGGCGAUCAGUUUGGUUUGCUUGCAAACCAAAGCUGGCGACCGGCGCACGGGUGAGUAACACGUAUCCAACCUGCCGAUAACUCGGGGAUAACCCUUCGAAAGAAGGCCUAAUACCCGAUGGCAUAUCCCUUCCGCCUGGUUGGGAUAUUAAAGAACUUCGGUUAUCGAUGGGGAUGCGUUCCAUUAGCUUGUUGGCGGGUAACGGCCCACCAAGGCUUCGAUGGAUAGGGGUUCUGAGAGGAAGGUCCCCCACAUUGGAACUGAGACACGGUCCAAACUCCUACGGGAGGCAGCAGUGAGGAAUAUUGGUCAAUGGACGAGAGUCUGAACCAGCCAAGUAGCGUGAAGGAUGAAGGUCCUAUGGAUU